ACCUACACACGGCUCCUUAAGA
This 22-nucleotide microRNA is filed under the name Strongyloides ratti. RNAcentral's name for it is "str-miR-252a-3p". Its record names the gene str-miR-252a-3p. Lineage: Eukaryota; Metazoa; Nematoda; Chromadorea; Rhabditida; Strongyloididae. The record is from miRBase by way of RNAcentral.